GGAUGCUUAACAGCAGUGCUGCAUGAAAGAAAUACUGAUUUGCACAGUGCMGUGGAUCUUCCUAAGAACAGAGAAUGAGCCCAGGUACCUUCUUUUUUAUGUCACAGGCCWUGAAAAGUAGCGCUAAGUGAGAUAUGAGCUGCCCUGAACAGAUGCAGCUGGUGUGUUUGACUGUGAUAAGUGGUGGAAAAGCAUGCCAUAUCUUCCCUCAGGAAUGUGUUUAUUGGUUGAAAUGUUACAUCCGAACAUUCCAUUUUUUACUGGCCACAUGAUUAAGAUCAGAGUCAAAAACACAACUGUGCAGAUCUCAACCACUGGGACCAUUGCUGUGCACUGAGAUAACCAAAAAAGAGAGGCACAGUGCUCUCAGUCUCUAAGGCUGCUGAUUAAUUGCYACAGUUCCUCUGGAUCCCAGCGCCUCUGGAACCUGUGAGAAACUCCUUUUCAUACUACUACAUUGACUUCUCAAGAAAAGUUUAAGUGCUUCAUAAGCAUAAAUUAAUUCAGCCAAACAGCAUUUCUGUGAUGUGGGAAAACCUGUGAUGCCUACCUGACACCACUUACUUGUCUUGCUUAAUAUUACAAACUGAAUCAGUGAUGUAGAUAAGAACCAUACUCGGGAUCCCUAUUUCUGACUUCGUUGCUUCACACAGUGAAUGCAGACAUGGCAAACUCGCAAUACUCAACAGAACAAGUGGCUGAAUUGUGACUGGUGCAUCUUUGCAUCAUAGUGCAAAAACAAUUCCUUUCAUGAAUUCCUCCUCUCGCUUCAAAAACUAGCUCUAGUGAAAGGAAAAUGCUCACUCUUACAAAUGUGGCACAAAACUUUUUCUGCUCUUUAUCUUUUACCCCCCUAAAACUGAGUGGCUUUAUUUAAGAUUCACAGUCCAAUUUCUGACCUAGGUGGCUGAGUUAACGGACUGGCCUUUAGAUUUGGUUCCCUCUGGAGUCACCAGACAGGUGUGUAUUUAGGAGGUUCCUCUGGAGGAUGAUUCAGAACAAAAUUCCAAGUCAGGUGGUCAGAUUUGAGCUGAUGCCUAAAGCCUUAACAAACUCUUGUUCCUGAUUGCAAUGGGUGGAGCUGGGAUUCAUCUGAGAACACAGUAUAAAAGAAGUGAAAUAUGUCUGACAGAGAAAAGACCAAGAGGUGAUUAUGCUUGUACCAUGUUUGUGCAUCUAUGAGGGCUCUAAGCAACAGGAAUAAAUGUACAGUGGAGACAUCURUGUUACAGGCUUGUCACAGUACUGAGCACAACUCAGAAACUAUACAUUAGCUUUUGAUGGCUGAUUAAAAUUUCCAGUUUUGCAUUAAUAAUGGGACAACCUGUUGUCAUUUGCCUUCUCCCUUACAUAAAACCUUCUGCCAGACAUUAAUUUUCCAGUCGGGGAGGCUAAAUGCAUGUGAACAUUAUCUGAGGGAUCUUGAAUAUCUUUUCCAAAGACAAGACAAUGACACUUCUCCGUGCAAGUUCAAACAUGACUCUCCCAUGUUGCAAAGAACUGUCAAAUUGAAUAACAGGUACAGUGAAAGCACUUCUUUCCCAAACUAUUCAAAUGAGCAGCAGCUUAAAUAAACAGAACCUGGCUAAAGGUUACAUGAAAGAUUUGUCAUAGCAAGAAGUAAUAUUUGAAUGAUAAUAUCUCUUAGUUUAUUCAUUAUUUAAAGUUACUCUUUUAAAUAGACCUAGAGCAGGUUCCCAGGUAACCCCUGMGAUAAAGUUAUCAGUCUCUGUCUCUCAUCUUCACUACAUCCUGCCAUAAAUAAUGCCUUUGCACAUGGUAUCUCCUACCAGUGGUGAUUGCAGUAACUCUUUGGCUCCCAGCAGAAGUAGUUGGGGGUGUGGUUAAGCCAGGAUGCAGCGAACAUGAUUCAUACAAAAAACCUCAGACCUUGGACUGGUUGUAAGGGAUUCCCACGUUUAUUAUGUGGGAAAGUGUUGAACAUAUUGUAUAAAUUAUACAAUGGAGCUGAAAGAUUGGGAUUUCCCUGUGUUAGUCAGUUGGUUACUACACCAGAUUUAGACUGUCAUUAAAGAAGAAAAUAAGAAUCUUUCUUAUUAUAGACAGCAAGACAAUAUUCAAGAUACUUUUUAAUUAAGAGAAUCCCAGAGAAAUUAGAAAGUGAUGCAGAAAUUGGAGCCACAACUGAUUUGCUUUUUGCAAAUAAGCACAACCUUUACAAUGAAAUGGCUUUUUUUUUUUUUU
Molecule: long non-coding RNA, 2205 nt
Organism: Malurus melanocephalus (red-backed fairy wren)
Lineage: Eukaryota; Metazoa; Chordata; Aves; Passeriformes; Maluridae
Source: RefSeq, a predicted model, not a curated record